GACAAUUUGUGAGCAUAACAGACACAACGAAAGGCAUAGUACUACACAGAGGAGCUUAUGCUGGGGCCGCACAAUGAAGAGAUUCUCCUUCCCAACAGCGACUUUCACGCUACUCAUGUACCUGUUAGAAAUAGUCACCUCUCCUCUCUGCCUUGGCUUCGCAAGUGAAGGAGUGAGGCUGACUCAGGUCCUGCCUGCAUCAGCAGUUUGCUGUUGGGUUCCAUAGGAUCUAAUCCAGACAUGAACACCCGUGAUCUCAGAAACAUCCGAAACCUACAGUCCAGAGUGACCAUGGUGCAUGAUACUCGGGACUAUGUGACUGUCCCUUAGACUGGGGUUUAUCCCAUGCUGACACAGAAGCAGAUGCUGAACGCAACAAGGAGGAUGCUGAGGCAUCUCGGCGACUGCGACGGUGGUGGGAGCGUCCUGCAGU
This 433-nucleotide long non-coding RNA is filed under the name Struthio camelus australis. Its description in RNAcentral is "lncRNA (ENSSCUG00000015018.1)". The record is from RNAcentral. Lineage: Eukaryota; Metazoa; Chordata; Aves; Struthioniformes; Struthionidae.